CGACCGGCGCACGGGUGAGUAACGCGUAUCCAACCUGCCCACCACUUGGGGAUAACCUUGCGAAAGUAAGACUAAUACCCAAUGAUAUCUCUAGAAGACAUCUGAAAGAGAUUAAAGAUUUAUCGGUGAUGGAUGGGGAUGCGUCUGAUUAGCUUGUUGGCGGGGUAACGGCCCACCAAGGCAACGAUCAGUAGGGGUUCUGAGAGGAGGGUCCCCCACAUUGGAACUGAGACACGGUCCAA
Molecule: ribosomal RNA, 242 nt
Filed under: uncultured bacterium
Lineage: Bacteria
Description: partial 16S ribosomal RNA
Rfam family: Bacterial small subunit ribosomal RNA
Source: RNAcentral